RNAcentral lists this ribosomal RNA (774 nucleotides) under uncultured bacterium. RNAcentral describes it as "bacterial SSU rRNA". It matches the Rfam family "Bacterial small subunit ribosomal RNA", at positions 8 to 796 of the family's 1533-position model. The record is from RNAcentral.
AGAGUUUGAUCAUGGCUCAGGACGAACGCUGGCGGCGUGCUUAACACAUGCAAGUCGAACGGUGAACUCCGCUUGCGGGGGGAUCAGUGGCGAACGGGUGAGUAACACGUGGGCAACCUGCCCUCAGCUCUGGGAUAACUCCAAGAAAUUGGGGCUAAUACUGGAUAUGACCGCUGACCGCAUGGUCUGGUGGUGGAAAGAUUUAUCGGCUGGGGAUGGGCCCGCGGCCUAUCAGCUUGUUGGUGGGGUAGUGGCCUACCAAGGCGACGACGGGUAGCCGGCCUGAGAGGGUGACCGGCCACACUGGGACUGAGACACGGCCCAGACUCCUACGGGAGGCAGCAGUGGGGAAUAUUGCGCAAUGGGCGAAAGCCUGACGCAGCGACGCCGCGUGGGGGAUGACGGCCUUCGGGUUGUAAACCUCUUUCAGCAGGGACGAAGCGAAAGUGACGGUACCUGCAGAAGAAGCACCGGCCAACUACGUGCCAGCAGCCGCGGUAAUACGUAGGGUGCAAGCGUUGUCCGGAAUUAUUGGGCGUAAAGAGCUCGUAGGCGGUUUGUUGCGUCGGCUGUGAAAACCUGAGGCUCAACCUCAGGCCUGCAGUCGAUACGAGCAGACUAGAGUGUUGCAGGGGAGACUGGAAUUCCUGGUGUAGCGGUGAAAUGCGCAGAUAUCAGGAGGAACACCGGUGGCGAAGGCGGGUCUCUGGGCAACAACUGACGCUGAGGAGCGAAAGCGUGGGGAGCGAACAGGAUUAGAUACCCNNGUAGUCC